RNAcentral lists this ribosomal RNA (497 nucleotides) under uncultured bacterium. RNAcentral's name for it is "partial 16S ribosomal RNA". It matches the Rfam family "Bacterial small subunit ribosomal RNA", at positions 28 to 507 of the family's 1533-position model. The record is from RNAcentral.
GAUGAACGCUGGCGGCGUGCCUAAUACAUGCAAGUCGAGCGAACAGACGAGGAGCUUUCUCCUCUGACGUUAGCGGCGGACGGUCGAGUAACACGUGGAUAACCAACCUUUAAGACUGGGAUAAAUUCGGGAAACCGGAUCUAAUACCGCAUAAUAUUUUGAACCGCAUGGUUCAAUAGUUAAAGACGGUUUUUCUUUCCCUUAUAGACGGUUCCGGGCCGCAUUAGCUUGUUGGUAAGGUAACGGCUUACCAAGGCAACGAUGCUUAGCCGACCGGAGAGGCUGAUCGGACACACUGGAACUGAGACACGGUCCAGACGCCUACGGGAGGCAGCAGUAGGGAAUCUUCCGCAAUGGGCGAAAGCCUGACGGAGAAACGCCGCGUGAGUGAUGAAGGUCUUCGGAUCGUAAAACUCUGUUAUGAGGGAAGAACAAAUGUGUAAGUAACUAUGCACGUCUUGACGGUACCUAAUCAGAAAGACACGGCUAACUAAGUG